Molecule: ribosomal RNA, 930 nt
Filed under: Thanatephorus cucumeris
Lineage: Eukaryota; Fungi; Basidiomycota; Agaricomycetes; Cantharellales; Ceratobasidiaceae
Description: eukaryotic LSU rRNA
Rfam family: Eukaryotic large subunit ribosomal RNA
Source: RNAcentral
CUCAAAUCAGGUAGGACUACCCGCUGAACUUAAGCAUAUCAAUAAGCGGAGGAAAAGAAACUAACAAGGAUUCCCCUAGUAACGGCGAGUGAAGCGGGAAGAGCUCAAAUUUAAAAUCUGGCAGUGUAUUCUGUCCGAGUUGUAGUCUAGAGAAGCAUCAUCCGUGCUGGACCAUGUACAAGUCUCUUGGAACAGAGCGUCAUAGAGGGUGAGAAUCCCGUCCUUGACAUGGACUCCCAGUACUUUGUGUUGUGCUCUCAACGAGUCGAGUUGUUUGGGAAUGCAGCUCAAAAUGGGUGGUAAAUUCCAUCUAAAGCUAAAUAUUGGCGAGAGACCGAUAGCGAACAAGUACCGUGAGGGAAAGAUGAAAAGCACUUUGGAGAGAGAGUUAAACAGUACGUGAAAUUGUUGAAAUGGAAACGCUUGAAGUCAGUCGCGUUCUCUGGGAUUCAGCCUUGCUUUUGCUUGGUGCAUUUCCCGGUCUACGGGCCAGCAUGAAUUUUGACCAAUGGAAAAAGGCUUGGGGAAUGUGGCACCUUCGGGUGUGUUAUAGCCCCUUGUCACAUACGUUGGUUGGGAUUGAGGUCUUAGUGCACGCUUCGGUUGUGCUUUGAUGCUGGCGUAAUGGCUUUAAACGACCCGUCUUGAAACACGGACCAAGGAGUCUAACAUGUCUGCAAGUGUUUGGGUGCAAAACCCGAGCGCGUAAUGAAAGUGAUAGUUGGGAACCUCUUCAGAGGGGCACCGACGCCCGGACCAGACCUUCUGUGACGGAUCCGAGGUAGAGCAUAUAUGUUGGGACCCGAAAGAUGGUGAACUAUGCCUGCAUAGGGUGAAGCCAGAGGAAACUCUGGUGGAGGCUCGUAGCGAUUCUGACGUGCAAAUCGAUCGUCAAAUGUGGGUAUAGGGGCGAAAGACUAAUCGAACCAU